Long non-coding RNA from Helianthus annuus (common sunflower), 1129 nucleotides. RefSeq lists it as uncharacterized. The record is from RefSeq and is a predicted model, not a curated record. Lineage: Eukaryota; Viridiplantae; Streptophyta; Magnoliopsida; Asterales; Asteraceae. The transcript has 6 exons.
UACCAGUUUGCAUUUCUUAAAUAAACAGUUAAACUCAAUAAAAAAAACCCAUAACGGCAGUUCCACACCUUCUCUCCUAUUCCAAAGCAGUUAGCGGACGGUUUUCUUUUUCUCUUAAAUCACCCAUCUCCUUCCCUAGAAAUCCCCCCACUGGUGUGCAGUUAAGUUCGAUGCUUUCACCAUGUCCGAUCCGAAACAUCGAGCAACCUCAUCAGCCUCCCCAAAACUGAACGCCGGUUUACAGUUGCAACUUGCUGACUGAAAUCACUAAGUGACUUCGUCAUGCCUUUAUUAGAUAUAGCUACUCACCGCGGUCUUUGUUCUGUAUUCAACUGUAUUUCAGAGAAUUCAUCAUGUUUCGUUUCUAUCUGACAAUCCAAAACCUACCGGAUGGAGUUUGAAAACAAGAUUGGAGUACUCAGCUGUUGUGGAUUUUGCUGAUUGGGUGAAGUUCAAUGCGCAAAGAACUGUUCAAACGACCUCUGCCAUGGGAAUCUAAUCGCUUUCACUUGAUGACCUACAUUUUUUUUUAUUAAUGAUAGUAUAGUAAUGCCAGCCAUGCAUUCAAGCUAGGUUUGUCAGAACUUGUGUAUGACUUUUUAAACAAAAAAAACAUCAAAAGAAAUGACACGGGUCAAAUCGGUUGAUAAUACUUUUAGCGUAGAACCUAAUGAUAUCGUUUGUUGACUUUGUUCAAAGUGAUAUUUAUGUUGAAUCAUAUUUUUUACACUUAUUUUAUAAAAUGUCAAAGUUUUGGACAACAAAUGUCUUUGCUUUAGCUCACCUUGAUGGCUUGAUCCAUUUCGAUAUCUAGAUUUAUUAAAAGUCAAAAAAAUAUUGUUUAUUUAAACUUCUUACGUUGGUCCAUUUUGAAGUUGUUAUGCAACCAUUUUAGCAUGUUUUAAAAGGUAUUGUUAUUUAGCAUUCUGACACAGAUCGGGUAACUUGUGUUUUAACACUAAUUAACCUAUAAAUGUGACUUGAGAUCAAUAUAACAUGUUUUAGUAUUUGGAUAAACAGACUUUGCUUCUCAUUAUUUGAUUACUUAGGGUGUCAAAUAAUUAGUUUUGGAUAACCAGUUUCAUAUAAAGCUGUUGGCAAAAACUAAAAUGAUUUAUUUGCCCUUUUU